This is a long non-coding RNA of Varanus komodoensis (Komodo dragon), 1265 nucleotides long. RefSeq lists it as uncharacterized. The transcript is spliced from 3 exons. The record is from RefSeq and is a predicted model, not a curated record. Lineage: Eukaryota; Metazoa; Chordata; Lepidosauria; Squamata; Varanidae.
CUGCUGGGUUGUUAGUCGAAAGCUCAGCAGUUCGAAUCCACAUAAUGGGGUGUGCUACCGUUACUUUGUCCAAGCUCCUGCCAGCCUAGCAGUUCGAAAGCAUGAAAAUGCAAGUUGAUAAAUUGGUACCACUUUGGUGGGAAGGUAACAGUGUUCUAUGCGCCUUGGCAUUUAGUCAUGCCAGCCACAUGACCAUGGAAACUGUCUGCAGACAAAUGCUGGCUCCCUUGGGGGAACUGUGUCUUGUCUGCCACUGGGUUUAAAUGCCUUUACAAGGCUUUAUGACCAGGGCAGGUUCCACGUGAAAGGAUACUGAUGACUACAUACAGGUUUGAACCUAGUUUACAUCAGAUGCCAAGAUUUUACAUAUAGAUAUCAUUUGCUAUGUAAGAAAUUAUCAGUCUAACAACCAAAUAGUUUGCUAUUGUGGUUAACAUCUACAUUUUAUUGAAAGGUAUAGAAAUAUUUUUAUUCUCAUAAAUAAAAUUAUUUAUUUAUUCUCAUAUAUGUCAUAAGAAUAUGUCAUAUUCUUAUGACAUAUGAAAACUAGCAAUGGUUAUUUGUCAAAAAUCAGGCAGAAGCUAAACAUAUAGCUGAACUUGAGCCUGUUCAUACAUAAUGAUGGCACUCAUUAAAUACCAAUUACAUAUGAGCCAAGUCUGUGUCUCAAUCUGCACUUCCUUCAGUGCGCUGCUUGACCUACCUCUUUAAGCAUUACAAAGCCAUACUAAUGUUAAAUACUUCUGUUUUCUGCUUCUAUGAGAACAAACGUGCCAUUCCGCGAACAUUACAUCCCAAUGUCCCUUUCAAGAACAAAAGGUUUAAAAAAGAUUAAGAGGAAAGUUAAGGAGCUCAGAAAAUCAUUUCUAACCCAAAAUGGUUGGAGAAACAACUGAAGCUCAGAAGACUGAGGACACUGACUUCCUUGUGGCAUGCUGACCCUUUACUUUCUUCAUAAGGGGCAGAAGGACCAAGGGGAAGUACAGAUACAUAGAACCGUUUCUUUCUAGUAAGGAGAAAAAAAAAACCCAAAAAAGUAAUGGGAGAAACCUGAGAGGCCUACAAGCUAAAGAUGUCAUCAUCUGGAUUUUCUAUAAAAUUCCAUGAACAAGACACUGCAAUUUCACAAUUAAAGCUUAGUAAUGAAACAACUUCCUUGUAAGUGCAAAAAAAUGCACAUCAAAGAAAAACCAAACCCUAUACCAGAAAUAUACUGAAAGAGUCUGAAAUGGUUGUUACUAUACAUAAAAAGAUAUUAGAUUGUA